Solea senegalensis (Senegalese sole) is the source of this 1041-nucleotide long non-coding RNA. RefSeq lists it as uncharacterized. The transcript is spliced from 2 exons. The record is from RefSeq and is a predicted model, not a curated record. Lineage: Eukaryota; Metazoa; Chordata; Actinopteri; Pleuronectiformes; Soleidae.
CUCUUUCAGUUAUUAGCCAAAUGACAGCAGACAUUAUCCCCACCUGUGGUACGCCAAGUCGACUCGAAACAUACCAGCUAACAAUUUUUGGCUCCCAGAACAUUCUGGGAACGUGCCCUGAAGGUUCCCCCUGGGUUAUCCUGUGCUUCCCCUAACGUUCCACUUACGUUCCACAUUACUUUUAUACAACCUUUAUACAUUAAUAUGACAGCAUUCAUUAUACAGUACUAUAUAACUGCUAUUAUUUUACACUGUGCACAUUAGUAGAUAUACUUGCAGUCUUAUCACAAGUUGAGUUAUGACUAUAGCUACAUGCUAUAUAGAUAUAUAUUCUCCAUACUGCUUGUGUGCUUGGUUAAAGCCCAAAUUUAAUUUUACAAGAACGGCAGUCUUCCUGCUUCCUGUAGUUCUGCAAAUAGACAGUAGAUAGAGCCAAAAGGCUGCGAGACGACAAAAUUACCACAAUGCUUCACACAUAAAUGCCACUGUAUAUGUGUGUGUGUGUGUGUGUGAAUGAGAAAGGCGACCGGUGAGCGGCCGGAUGACGCCAAAGAACUGGUCAGGUUUCUCCAUUUCACAUUUUAUUAUUAUUUCAUUUCAAUUGCAGCAACACUUCCACUAAUAAGGUAAACUUAAAAUUUUAUCAAAUGGUUAUUUUACCAAGUGACAAUUUUUCCCUUUUACCCUUAGCACCUAAUCUUCAUCACUCUUCUGUUACUGAUAUGCCCCUGCCGAUAAACCUAUAAAAUAUCUUUACAAUAAAUAACCACCAAACAUUUGAACCCCCCCCCCCGUCCUAUCCGGCCACUUGGUCUGUCACGGAACGUUUAUCAUGGUGCCCGUGCCCCGAGGGAAUCUUUUGGCCGCGCACCCUGGAGCAGACACAGUACCGGACAGACGGAGCCGAGUGCCGCACCUGCCCGAAGACAUACAAUCACCUGCGGUCACACGGUCUAAUAAAUAACUCGAUAAGUAUUCAAUAGAGUAAUACGCAAAAUGUACUGUGCAAGCUAUGGCCAAUAAAGUGCUAUCGUGACUAAA